AAAGCAGACAUGCUCGCAAACAUGGAGGGCCUCUUCCGCUACAUGUUUAGCACUUAGCGCGAUGAAGUCUAUGGCAAGGCGCUGACAUGGCAGCCGCUCGAAAAGCGGCGUUGGAACAAACGUUAUCCGGACGCUCACAGGAGAGCGAAGCUCGCUCGAGUCAGAAACUGCUGCUCAAGCUGCUCAACGGAGGAGCUCGACGCAAAGGCAUAUGGUCUCACGGUGGGCAUCUACGGGAGAAGGAAGGACUUCCAAAGGGUGGAGAAAUGCUCCGGACGUCUCGGCCUGGACAUUGAUGGUGAAGAGCUUCGGAUGGACGAGAUCUGGAGCUAUGCUUCGUCGUGCCAGCUCGAGGCGGACUUCUCGAGAGCUCUUCUUUCAGAAAGAUGGAGGCUGCUUGAUCAAGCGAUCCAAGCCCGGGAAGGCCGAGCUUGUCAAGGCUGCCAACAUCGUCUAUGUAUGAAGCGAAGGGGCGAUGGAGUAGGCGCUGGACGAAAUGGACGAUGAUGUCUUGGACAUCCGCACCGACAAUGCCUUGAUCGAUGGGUGGAAGAGGAAAAGCUUGCAGAGAUGUCGAGGGCGGGGCUCAAGGCGCGAGUCACAGAGCAAGCACUCCUUGCUGCGCACGGCCGGAAUGAGAUAUAAAUCUAUCUUGUUUUGAUAGUCUUGUGGUGCAGAGACUAACUUGCUCUUACUGGCUCGGCCAUGAGCUCUCGUGCCGCUGUCGCUUCCAGAGGCGUCUUCUCGUACCAAAAGGUCUGGACGUUGUCGAUCUUGUGGUGGAGC
RNAcentral lists this long non-coding RNA (786 nucleotides) under Selaginella moellendorffii. RNAcentral's name for it is "long non-coding RNA (SMOE_LNC000467)". Lineage: Eukaryota; Viridiplantae; Streptophyta; Lycopodiopsida; Selaginellales; Selaginellaceae. The record is from RNAcentral.